GGAGGGGUGCCCGAGUGGACGAAGGGGGCGGCCUUGAAAGCCGCUGAGGGAGCCAAGUCUCCCUCCGGGGGUUCGAAUCCCUCCCCCUCCG
RNAcentral lists this transfer RNA (91 nucleotides) under Caldimicrobium sp. RNAcentral's name for it is "tRNA-Ser". It matches the Rfam family "tRNA". From Rfam's summary of the family: Transfer RNA (tRNA) molecules are approximately 80 nucleotides in length. Their secondary structure includes four short double-helical elements and three loops (D, anti-codon, and T loops). The record is from RNAcentral. Lineage: Bacteria; Pseudomonadati; Thermodesulfobacteriota; Thermodesulfobacteria; Thermodesulfobacteriales; Thermodesulfobacteriaceae.